UACGUAGGGUGCAAGCGUUGUCCGGAUUUAUUGGGCGUAAAGAGCUCGUAGGCGGUCUGUCGCGUCUGCUGUGAAAACUCAGGGCUUAACCCUGAGCUUGCAGUGGGUACGGGCAGACUAGAGUGCGGUAGGGGAGACUGGAAUUCCUGGUGUAGCGGUGAAAUGCGCAGAUAUCAGGAGGAACACCGGUGGCGAAGGCGGGUCUCUGGGCCGUAACUGACGCUGAGGAGCGAAAGCGUGGGGAGCGAACAGG
Molecule: ribosomal RNA, 253 nt
Filed under: uncultured bacterium
Lineage: Bacteria
Description: partial 16S ribosomal RNA
Rfam family: Bacterial small subunit ribosomal RNA
Source: RNAcentral